UAGACCUCAAAUCAGUCAGGACUACCCGCUGAACUUAAGCAUAUCAAUAAGCGGAGGAAAAGAAACUAACAAGGAUUCCCCUAGUAACGGCGAGUGAAGUGGGAAAAGCUCAACUUUGAAAUCUGGCACCUUCGGUGUCCGAGUUGUAGUCUCAAGAAGUGUUUUCUGUGCCGGCCCGUGUAUGAGUCUGUUGGAACACAGCGUCAUAGAGGGUGACAACCCCGUUCAUGACACGGAUCCCGGUGCUUUGUGAUACACUCUCGAAGAGUCGAGUUGUUUGGGAAUGCAGCUCAAAUUGGGUGGUAAAUUCCAUCUAAAGCUAAAUAUUGGCGAGAGACCGAUAGCAAACAAGUACCGUGAGGGAAAGAUGAAAAGCACUUUGGAAAGAGAGUUAACAGUACGUGAAAUUGUUGAAAGGGAAACGAUUGAAGUCAGACGUGCGUGAUGCGGUUCAGCUCUGGUUCGCCAGAGUGUACUCCGUAUCUUUGCAGGCCAACAUCAGUUUCGCGAGUCGGAUAAAGGUUAGAGGAAUGUGGCACCUCCGGGUGUGUUAUAGCCUCUGACUGAAUACGAUUUGUGGGACUGAGGAACGCAGCGCGCCGCAAGGCAAAGGUUUCGACCUUUUCGCGCUUAGGAUGUUGGUGAAAUGGCUUUAAACGACCCGUCUUGAAACACG
This 676-nucleotide ribosomal RNA is filed under the name Cystobasidium minutum. RNAcentral's name for it is "eukaryotic LSU rRNA". It matches the Rfam family "Eukaryotic large subunit ribosomal RNA", at positions 1 to 663 of the family's 3401-position model. Lineage: Eukaryota; Fungi; Basidiomycota; Cystobasidiomycetes; Cystobasidiales; Cystobasidiaceae. The record is from RNAcentral.